This 924-nucleotide ribosomal RNA is filed under the name uncultured bacterium. RNAcentral's name for it is "bacterial SSU rRNA". It matches the Rfam family "Bacterial small subunit ribosomal RNA", at positions 56 to 981 of the family's 1533-position model. The record is from RNAcentral.
UGCAAGUCGAGGGGCAGCAUAAAUUACUUGUAAUUUGAUGGCGACCGGCGAACGGGUGCGUAACGCGUAUGCAACUUACCUUUUACUAGAGAAUAGCCAAGAGAAAUUUUGAUUAAUGCUCUAUGUUCUUAUUUACUCGCAUGAGUAAAUAAGCAAAGCUCCGGCGGUAAAAGAUGGGCAUGCGUCCUAUUAGCUUGUAGGUGAGGUAAUGGCUCACCUAAGCUCCGAUAGGUAGGGGUCCUGAGAGGGAGAUCCCCCACACUGGUACUGAGACACGGACCAGACUUCUACGGAAGGCAGCAGUAAGGAAUAUUGGACAAUGGAGGCAACUCUGAUCCAGCCAUGCCGCGUGAAGGAAGACGGCCUUAUGGGUUGUAAACUUCUUUUAUACAGGAAGAAACCUUUCCACGUGUGGAAAGCUGACGGUACUGUAAGAAUAAGGAUCGGCUAACUCCGUGCCAGCAGCCGCGGUAAUACGGAGGAUCCAAGCGUUAUCCGGAAUUAUUGGGUUUAAAGGGUCCGCAGGCUGUUUGUUAAGUCAGAGGUGAAAUCCUACCGCUCAACGGUAGAACUGCCUUUGAUACUGGCAAGCUUGAGUUAUUGUGAAGUAGUUAGAAUGUGUAGUGUAGCGGUGAAAUGCAUAGAUAUUACACAGAAUACCGAUUGCGAAAGCAGAUUACUAACAAUAUACUGACGCUGAGGGACGAAAGCGUGGGUAGCGAACAGGAUUAGAUACCCUGGUAGUCCACGCCGUAAACGAUGGUCACUAGCUGUUCGACGUACAUUGGUACGUUGAGUGGCUAAGCGAAAGUGAUAAGUGACCCACCUGGGAGUACGCUCGCAGAGUGAACUCAAAGGAAUGACCGGGCGCCCAGCGGUGGAGCAUGUGUAUCGAUGAUCCCAGACUACAGACUAAUGUAGUGC